Molecule: ribosomal RNA, 478 nt
Filed under: uncultured bacterium
Lineage: Bacteria
Description: partial 16S ribosomal RNA
Rfam family: Bacterial small subunit ribosomal RNA
Source: RNAcentral
GACGAACGCUGGCGGCGUGCUUAACACAUGCAAGUCGAACGGUAAGGCCCUUCGGGGUACACGAGUGGCGAACGGGUGAGUAACACGUGGGUGAUCUGCCCUGCACUUCGGGAUAAGCCUGGGAAACUGGGUCUAAUACCGGAUAGGACUCCGGACUGCAUGGUCUGGGGUGGAAAGCUUUUGCGGUGUGGGAUGGGCCCGCGGCCUAUCAGUUUGUUGGUGGGGUGAUGGCCUACCAAGGCGACGACGGGUAGCCGGCCUGAGAGGGUGACCGGCCACACUGGGACUGAGAUACGGCCCAGACUCCUACGGGAGGCAGCGGUGGGGAAUAUUGCACAAUGGGCGCAAGCCUGAUGCAGCGACGCCGCGUGAGGGAUGACGGCCUUCGGGUUGUAAACCUCUUUCAGCAUCGACGAAGCGAAAGUGACGGUAGGUGCAGAAGAAGGACCGGCCAACUACGUGCCAGCAGCCGCCGUAA